UGCAAUCACUAAUGUAAAUUGCUCUGGAUAAGAGCGUCUGCUAAAUGACUAAAA
Salmo salar (Atlantic salmon) is the source of this 54-nucleotide non-coding RNA. Lineage: Eukaryota; Metazoa; Chordata; Actinopteri; Salmoniformes; Salmonidae. The record is from Rfam.